AAGUAUUAGGUUGGUGCAAAAGUAAUUGCAGUUUUUGUUGUUACUUUUAAUAGCAAAAACCGCAAUUACUUUUGCACCAAGUUAAUAUUGA
Chlorocebus sabaeus (green monkey) is the source of this 91-nucleotide microRNA precursor. NCBI's taxonomy places the organism in Eukaryota, Metazoa, Chordata, Mammalia, Primates, Cercopithecidae. The record is from Ensembl.